RNAcentral lists this ribosomal RNA (547 nucleotides) under fungal sp. RTL3.11. Its description in RNAcentral is "eukaryotic LSU rRNA". The stretch from base 167 to 320 matches the Rfam family "5.8S ribosomal RNA". Lineage: Eukaryota; Fungi. The record is from RNAcentral.
GACGUCAUGUGUGUCAUACUUUCGCUGCAGCGCUGCCAUAUAUUCACCCACCCUUUGUCUACGUGUACCUCUAUAGCUUCCUCGGCGUGGCUCGCCCGCCGCCAGGAACCCACGAAACCCCUUGCAUUAUACACAAAAACUUCUGAUAACAAACCUAAAUUAUUACAACUUUCAACAAUGGAUCUCUUGGUUCUGGCAUCGAUGAAGAACGCAGCGAAAUGCGAUAAGUAGUGUGAAUUGCAGAAUUCAGUGAAUCAUCGAAUCUUUGAACGCACAUUGCGGCCAUAGGUAUUCCUUUGGCCAUGCCUGUUCGAGCGUCAUUUACACCCUCAAGCCUAGCUUGGUGUUGGGCGUCUGUCCCGCCGAUUUCGCGCGCGGACUCACCUCAAAGUCAUUGGCGGCGGUCGUGCCGGCUCCUCGCGCAGCACAUUUGCGCUUCUCGGGAGGCCCGGCGGAUCCGCGCUCCACCAAAGACCUUUCAUGACUUGGACCUCCGAUCAGGUAGGGAUACCCGCUGAACUUUAUCCUAUCAAUAAGCGGAAGGAAU